UAGAAGCGUCAUAAAGAAGUUCUUAUGCCUUAUAUAUCAGGUUGAGGUCAUAUUCUAACACUUCAGACAGAACGUUCAUAUUAAGAUGGCAGUAUAGGUAAAGAAUUUCCUCCUCCAAUCCUGUUGUGGUGCAGAGCUUAAUACAGUUAAUUAAUCAAAUCCUUUUUAAUUCAUUUAACUGACAAUUGGCAGCCGCUCAGCACACCCACAUACGCCGCCACUACUUCAAUUGACUUAAUUAACCAGAAGUGCAGAUUAGGUUGGAUGAUCUGUCCUCCAAGCAAAGUCAGAGCAUAACAACAGUGACCAAUUAAUUCAAAAGCACGCUACCACUUGAGAACGGCCGACGCGUGUGUCAAACUGCAAGUGCAACUGAUCGGCACAUUAAUUUAUAAACUCACAACAAUGAGCUGAGCUUGUUGCAUGGGAGAGGAAAUAAUUAGUUGUCUUAUCAGUUAGUCCAUAACGGACAUAACUACUGUAGGAACGGCCAGUGGUGACAAGUUGCUUAUGUGGGCGUCAGAAACACCAUCAGAUCGCCGCAUUAUACAAUGGUCAGUACCAUUUAAAAAUAACUACACAUAUAUAUAGUUAUUUGUGUAGAUUGGAAUUGUCAUACGAGCGAACGGAGUGCGACGUGUUGAUUAGUACUUUGCCUUCUCUACCCAUAAACUUGAACCUAUUAAGAAUGCUAAAACGACUAAAGAAACGGUGUUGGCAACUAUUGGACAUUGUGGUCAAAACAAUAUUAAUCGUUGUGUUGUCUGUUAUUUAAAUUAAAUUAAAAUAUUGUGAAUAAAUAAUUAAUUGGCAACCGAGUGCAAGUUAAUUUUAUUAAUUGAGAUAUUUGAGCAGAACUGAGUAAACAGCAAAUAAAUUAAGUAACAUAAAAGUGAAACUUUUGAAAACUUUAGUGCCAUUGCUUAGCUCUUGGCUAGCAUUUGAUAUAUUUAAAUAUGUUGGCGAUAUUUAUAUCUGGUGGUCUAGUAAGCAUGACAGUUUGAAAAAAAAUACCAAGUACCACAAUGGAAUUUAAGUCUUCCGACUUACUUUAAUUAUAGUUAUAACGACAAUAUUAAAAAAAAUAUAUAUUUAAA
This is a long non-coding RNA of Teleopsis dalmanni, 1097 nucleotides long. RefSeq lists it as uncharacterized. NCBI's taxonomy places the organism in Eukaryota, Metazoa, Arthropoda, Insecta, Diptera, Diopsidae. The transcript has 3 exons. The record is from RefSeq and is a predicted model, not a curated record.